RNAcentral lists this non-coding RNA (30 nucleotides) under Homo sapiens (human). Lineage: Eukaryota; Metazoa; Chordata; Mammalia; Primates; Hominidae. The record is from RNAcentral.
CGUGCAGCUUAGUUUCUUCGACGGAAAACA